UUCACAUUAGUUUGUUGAAAUAACCUAGUUUCCUUAAAGUGAUGACGUAUACAUUCCACCACACAUUUGGGUAUCUAACCCUCUUAAUGUAUUUUCCCCUUUAUUUAGUGAUAUCCUUAACACAAAAACACCCAUGGAAAAGAGCAGUGUGGAUAUUCAAGAGAAGAGGAAUUAUACAACAGAGACACCACAUCAAUUACAGUGCCCUAAACAUUGGCUUCAGCUCCACGAUAAAUGCUAGACUAUUUCUAGUUCUUUCAAAACUCAGAAUGACAGUCUAGCUGACUGCUCCCAAAGAGAAUCCAGUUUGCUGCUCAUCCAAGAUCAGGAAGAAUUGAGAUUCAUACAGAACCUGAUUAAGAAUUAAGGAAAUCUGUAUUGGAUUGGACUAAAAUUUACAUUAUCAGAGAAGAAGUGGAAGUGAAUAAAUGGUUCUUUAUUAAAUCAUGACAGAUUACAAAUUUUUGGUGAAAAUAAAAAAAACAGCUGUACUGCUAUCUCAAGAUGAAGGUAUUUUCUGAGAUCUGUAAUUCAGAAAACAAAUGGAUCUGUGAAAAGAAACUAAAGCCUGUCAGAAAUAAAGUAUCUUGACUAUGAA
This is a non-coding RNA of Ictidomys tridecemlineatus (thirteen-lined ground squirrel), 598 nucleotides long. Lineage: Eukaryota; Metazoa; Chordata; Mammalia; Rodentia; Sciuridae. The record is from RefSeq and is a predicted model, not a curated record.